UGUUAAUGUUUUGGUUUUGAAGUAAAGCUGUGCUCACACCAUGAGCUGUCGAAGAACGUGAGUAAUCCCAUGUUUGAGUAAUAACGAAGAAGUCUACUCCCCCCUCUUACUCAAAUUCCUACUCAAAAUCCUCAUUUUUAAACUUUUGAUGUCCCGCCGGCAAUUUGAUUCACAAAUCAGCCCCCAAAAUGCGGUCAACGCGGAUUUCGCUUUUCCGCCAAUCCAAACAAGUUAGAGCUCUAUAUACAGGCGGAAAAUAAUGAAACGAUCAGAAGUAGAAAAAAGUGAGUAAAAGCCAAACGCAAGAGUUUGUCUUUAGAUCGGCGGAGAUCAUCUUCGAGAGGUUAUGCGAAGCUAGAUUGGAACUUGAGACCUAUACCCUGAGAGGCAAGGUGUAUACCGCUCGAGUCUUCUCGACUAUUAGAACUUGAGGCUUCAAUUUGCUGCUAACGCGCUCCCCUUGCAUGAAGGAUUAUUUGUUUGGCUUAUUUGUUGGUUUAAUCAGUACGUACUACUCCAUCAG
This is a long non-coding RNA of Phalaenopsis equestris, 523 nucleotides long. RefSeq lists it as uncharacterized. The transcript has 3 exons. NCBI's taxonomy places the organism in Eukaryota, Viridiplantae, Streptophyta, Magnoliopsida, Asparagales, Orchidaceae. The record is from RefSeq and is a predicted model, not a curated record.